This 372-nucleotide ribosomal RNA is filed under the name uncultured organism. Its description in RNAcentral is "bacterial SSU rRNA". It matches the Rfam family "Bacterial small subunit ribosomal RNA", at positions 526 to 896 of the family's 1533-position model. The record is from RNAcentral.
CGGAGGGGGCCAGCGUUGUUCGGAAUCAUUGGGCGUAAAGGGCGCGUAGGCGGCCGACCAAGUCGGAGGUGAAAUCCCUCGGCUCAACUGAGGAACUGCCUCCGAUACUGUUCGGCUUGAGUCCCGGAGAGGGUAGUGGAAUUCCGAGUGUAGCGGUGAAAUGCGUAGAGACUCGGAAGAACACCAGUGGCGAAGGCGGCUACCUGGACGGGUACUGACGCUGAAGCGCGAAAGCUAGGGGAGCAAACAGGAUUAGAUACCCUGGUAGUCCUAGCUGUAAACGAUGGGCACUUGGUGUUGCGGGUAUCGACCCCUGCAGUGCCGAAGCUAACGCAUUAAGUGCCCCGCCUGGGGAGUACGGUCGCAAGGCUG